This 497-nucleotide long non-coding RNA is filed under the name Capsella grandiflora. Its description in RNAcentral is "long non-coding RNA (CGRA_LNC000266)". Lineage: Eukaryota; Viridiplantae; Streptophyta; Magnoliopsida; Brassicales; Brassicaceae. The record is from RNAcentral.
GAUGGCUACAGCAAGAGGCCCGUUCUUGACAAGGUUGGCAGCAAUCUGUUCUUCAUCAAUGGAGAUAACACUGAAGUUGGAGACAGAGGCAACGAUCUUGGACUUGUCUAACUUGCAGGUGGGGCCGUCCUUUCCAGUGUAAGGAUAGUCUUCUUCUCUCAUGAGCCCUCCGGUUUUGAGGGUGUAUUCAAAUGCGCUGUUCAUUAGCCCACCAUUACAACCAGAGUCGCACGAACCUGCCUCCUCUGGAUCACACUGCAAUAAAGAGAUGAUAGCAACACUUAUUAGACAAGUUUCAAGUAACAAAACUCAUUAAAACUAAACAAGAAGAACAAAGUGCUGAGAUUGAUCAUCCUAAUUAUCUCAAACCGUGAACAUCUUGUAAAAAAUCUAUACUUUGAGCACAACACACAAUCUGACCCUGAUAUAAAAAUCCUUAAUGUUUAAUGCCCUCGAAGGAUAACAGGGAAUAGAGAGAGAAACAAAGUGAAACCUCG